RNAcentral lists this long non-coding RNA (758 nucleotides) under Homo sapiens (human). RNAcentral's name for it is "HSALNT0203243". Lineage: Eukaryota; Metazoa; Chordata; Mammalia; Primates; Hominidae. The record is from RNAcentral.
GAGACUGUUUAGACACUACUUUAGAAAAGGCAUUUUUUUUGGUGUUGCUACUAGGAAAUUGUGUGUGUGUGUGUGUGUGUGUGUGUGUGUGUGUGUGUGUGUGUUUUCAGUGUCUCUAGCAGCUGAAAGUAUGCAAGAGCUAAAAUGCAGCUACAGCUGGAGCUAACUCCCAUUCAUUCAUCAUUGUCACUUCACGAAUUAGGAGCCAGCAGACCAUUUCUCUCACUUUACUUCAGCUCCUUUUCAGAACGAGUGCAGAUUCAGAGAAGAAGGUGGAGCAAGAUGGCAGAAUAAUUGUCCCUCCAAUAAGGACAUCAAGUUAACGACUACCUACACAGAAAAACAGCUUCAUAAGAACGAAAAUCAGAACUAAUUCGACUGUUGAUGCCCAUCGGACAAAUACUAUCAGGAACACAGAGCCUCCCUCUGACGAACUCUUCUGGCUAUUCAGCUUUUUUUGUGUCAAGUGCAUGAGUCUCCCCUCUUCUCUCUGCCCUUCAGGAGUCCUCAUCAUCUUAAUUGUGUGACAUGGACCUGUGCAGUGAAGCCAGCAAAUUGUGCUUGAGAUGGAACUUUACCUCCCAAAGCAACUGCAGGUUCAUCAAUUAGCCAAGUUGCCACUCAAAUGGAUAGGUAUGUGAAACAAUGUACAGAGGUUAAAAGAGCUGGAGGAUUUUUGAAUACUCUUCUUAUGGUGGAAUGGAAGUUUCUUAUCUUAUGAAGAAAUGUGACAAGUGAGUAUUCACAUUUCUUUUCAG